Molecule: ribosomal RNA, 252 nt
Filed under: uncultured bacterium
Lineage: Bacteria
Description: partial 16S ribosomal RNA
Rfam family: Bacterial small subunit ribosomal RNA
Source: RNAcentral
UACGAAGGGGCUAGCGUUGCUCGGAAUCACUGGGCGUAAAGGGUGCGUAGGCGGGUCUUUAAGUCAGGGGUGAAAUCCUGGAGCUCAACUCCAGAACUGCCUUGAUACUGAAGAUCUUGAGUUCGGGAGAGGUGAGUGGAACUGCGAGUGUAGAGGUGAAAUUCGUAGAUAUUCGCAAGAACACCAGUGGCGAAGGCGGCUCACUGGCCCGAUACUGACGCUGAGGCACGAAAGCGUGGGGAGCAAACAGGG